GGUGGGUUGGUGGAGGAUCUGUAGUUCUUUGAGUCUUGUUGAGGCUCGAACUCCUGGGGUUGAAAGCCUCAGUUUAACU
Fonsecaea nubica is the source of this 79-nucleotide non-coding RNA. NCBI's taxonomy places the organism in Eukaryota, Fungi, Ascomycota, Eurotiomycetes, Chaetothyriales, Herpotrichiellaceae. The record is from the annotation of a RefSeq genome assembly.